UUACGGCUCAGUAACACGUGGAUAAUCUGCCCUCAGGAGAGGAAUACCCCCGGGAAACUGGGAAUAAUGCCUCAUAGUUCGGGAUGACUGGAAUGUUUCCCGUUCAAAAGGUCCGCCGCCUGAGGAUGAGUCUGCGGCCGAUCAGGUCGUUGUUGGGGUUAAGGCCCAACAAGCCAAUAACCGGUACGGGUUGUGGGAGCAAGAGCCCGGAGAUGGAUUCUGAGACACGAAUCCAGGCCCUACGGGGCGCAGCAGGCGCGAAAACUUUACAAUGCAGGCAACUGUGAUAAGGAAACCCCGAGUGCCUGACAACCAGGCUGUCCAUCUGUGCAAAACGCAGGUGAAGAAAGGGCCGGGCAAGACCGGUGCCAGCCGCCGCGGUAAUACCGGCGGCUCGAGUGGUGGCCACUAUUACUGGGCUUAAAGGGUCCGUAGCUGGGCUGUUAAGUCCCCUGGGAAAUCCACCGGCUUAACUGGUGGGCGGUCAGGGGAUACUGGCAGCCUAGGGACCGGGAGAGGUGCGAGGUACUCCAGGGGUAGGAGUGAAAUCCUGUAAUCCCUGGGGGACCACCGAUGGCGAAGGCAUCGCACCAGAACGGCUCCGACAGUGAGGGACGAAAGCUGGGGGAGCAAACCGGAUUAGAUACCCGGGUAGUCCCAGCUGUAAACGAUGCGCGUUAGGUGUAUCGGUAACCACGAGUUACCGAGGUGCCGAAGGGAAACCG
Molecule: ribosomal RNA, 725 nt
Filed under: uncultured Methanospirillaceae archaeon
Lineage: Archaea; Methanobacteriati; Methanobacteriota; Methanomicrobia; Methanomicrobiales; Methanospirillaceae
Description: bacterial SSU rRNA
Rfam family: Archaeal small subunit ribosomal RNA
Source: RNAcentral